RNAcentral lists this long non-coding RNA (981 nucleotides) under Lactuca sativa (garden lettuce). RNAcentral describes it as "long non-coding RNA (LSAT_LNC004310)". The record is from RNAcentral. Lineage: Eukaryota; Viridiplantae; Streptophyta; Magnoliopsida; Asterales; Asteraceae.
UAAGUCCUAUGUGGCAUGAAAUAUGGUUUGGUGGCGUUGCAAUUGCAAAGGAAUUUUGAAAGAUCCCGAUGUGGAAGGUCUAACGCACCGAUUUACCAAUUUCUGAGUGUUAGGUGACUUCCUUUUUUGCGAGUCCAAAGUGACCACCUCUACAAUCUCGCACUGAAAUCCGACCGCCGACCGCCAGCUGACAUCCUAUCCCUUUGUCUUGCAAAUUCUUCCUCCAAUCUCGCUGCUCACUUGCGCGUAUCACUCUAUCUCUCUGUCUGCGCUUUCAGAAUCUGAUCAAAUGACAACCAACGAAGGUGAAUAUAAUCGUCUAAACUUAUUAAUUGUGUCACAACAUAAUCCAAUCUUCUUCCUUUAGGUUACAUUUGGUACUCAGUUUUCAUCUUGGAACUUGAUGAAUUUAUUUUUCUUUUAGGUUGAUCAAAGAGUUUGACUGUGAAAUCAAAAUGGAGGAAAGUAAAAAUCCUUAAACUCAAGCAAUCAAUGGUAACAUCUACCAGAACUUGCCAUGGUUCUGCACUAUACUUGUUGAUAUUAACAACAUUCAUAUAAUUUCUUAUUUGUGAAGUGCUCCUUUAUUAGCUUCAAUAUGAAUGUAUCGUUGCAGUAAAUGGUGUUGGUUCAUUUAAAUCAAAUGAAGCAAACAGGGUAAUAAUUUUAUAUAAGCUUCACUUCAAUAUAUUGAUAACUAUUGUUCUGAUAGUCAAUAUUUUGUGAAAUCAGGUAGAACUCAAGCCAAAGGUAGAAUUGCUCAAGAACUGCACCUGAGACAAGCAGUUUAUGUUUCAAUAAAAAGUAAGUCCAAAUUCUCCUGGCGAGUUUUUGGUUUUGCCUUCUUGGGUCUUAUAUGUAAAAGCCUAAAAUGCUAAAUGCAAGAAAUGGCAGCCUACUUUCAUUUAGCUGUUUAUCAAUUAUCAUAACAUCCUACUCUCAUCAUCUUCUAUGAUGGCAUUGUAGUUUGAAAAAUCUAUC